GCGAGGGUGGCGGAACUGGCAGACGCGCUAGACUUAGGAUCUAGUAUGGUGACAUGUGGGGGUUCGAUUCCCCCCUCUCGCA
This 82-nucleotide transfer RNA is filed under the name Fibrobacter sp. Its description in RNAcentral is "tRNA-Leu". It matches the Rfam family "tRNA". Rfam says of the family: Transfer RNA (tRNA) molecules are approximately 80 nucleotides in length. Their secondary structure includes four short double-helical elements and three loops (D, anti-codon, and T loops). The record is from RNAcentral. Lineage: Bacteria; Pseudomonadati; Fibrobacterota; Fibrobacteria; Fibrobacterales; Fibrobacteraceae.